Molecule: non-coding RNA, 1010 nt
Organism: Schizosaccharomyces pombe (fission yeast)
Lineage: Eukaryota; Fungi; Ascomycota; Schizosaccharomycetes; Schizosaccharomycetales; Schizosaccharomycetaceae
Source: the annotation of a GenBank genome assembly
CAUGGCUGCCAAAUAUCGGCCAGAGAGGCUCCUCCAGUGGAGAGGGCAGGUGAGCCAAAAACUCCCGCCAAAAAUCUCAUUGGAAGCAAAACACCCAAGCUAGAUCCUAGCGCAGUGGGGAUUUGCAGACAGAUAAAAACAAUAAGGGAGAGCACAUAAAUUUUUUGACGGCCUAUUUGAGGUACCUCAGAGAGUGGAGAGAAAAUGAGAGGGCCAACCGCAUACCCCUCAACGAAAAGAGUCAGCCCCAAGAUUACGGGCACGGUUCCUACAUGCAUCGUCUCUCGAAUUUCCUGAAUACCAGGAGUAAAGAUUGCCGACCCCAUAUACACGGCAAACGUUAAAAAACAAACAUCAAAUGUUACUACGAGCUUUGCCCAUAAAGGCCAAUUUUUUGGGUUUUCAGGAUCAUCUUCGCCAUCCCAUGUCACAAUAAUCAAUCCUUCAGAGUUAACCUGGUUAGUUUUCUCGUCGUCAAAUGAAGAAUCGGGGCAACUACUUAACUCAACAUUACUAUUAUCUGUGCAUACUCCUAAUUUCUCCACAUCAACUUGGCGAGUACCGCCAGAAAAGUAUUCCACUAAUUCACCAAAAAUUGUUUCUCUUAAAAACCACAUCCAAUCGGUUCUCAAUGCAAGUUCUUGUUCUCAGUGGAUCGUAAUAAAAACUUGACAAAAUUGAUUGUCAUUACAUUCCUCGUAGAACUUUUGCUUGCCAGACAGAACCUCUUUAAAUAGACCAGUUCUUACUUCAUGUCAUGAAAAUUUCCUUGUUGGACAUUGGCCUAAAUAGCAUGUUUAGCCACUUCUAAGAAUUUCCACUUGCGCUGAUCUAUACACUCGGAAGCAAAAUUCGUUGAAACCGAGGAUAGGUUUAUUCAGUAUUAGUCGAUAAACAUAGAAGCGCUUUGUCGGGAAAAAUGUUAUCUUUGUCCGUCGCAUCGUUUAACCGUAAUUCGCUUAAAAUAUUUACACUAUUCUAGCAGUGGCUUAACUUUUGUCAACACAAUA